This 352-nucleotide RNase P RNA is filed under the name Bacteroides sp. CAG:462. RNAcentral's name for it is "Bacterial RNase P class A". It matches the Rfam family "Bacterial RNase P class A". Rfam says of the family: Ribonuclease P (RNase P) is a ubiquitous endoribonuclease, found in archaea, bacteria and eukarya as well as chloroplasts and mitochondria. Its best characterised activity is the generation of mature 5'-ends of tRNAs by cleaving the 5'-leader elements of precursor-tRNAs. Lineage: Bacteria; Pseudomonadati; Bacteroidota; Bacteroidia; Bacteroidales; Bacteroidaceae. The record is from Rfam by way of RNAcentral. RNAcentral also lists the same sequence under 3 other names.
ACAGAAGACCGGUCUGUCGCCGCCGGCUAUGCCGGAGGAGGAAAGUCCGGGCAACGCAGAGCAUCCCACUUCCUAACAGAAAGCUGUCCGUGAGGGUGGAGACAAUGCAGAAGAAAAGAACCGCCUCUUCACAAGGGGUAAGGGUGAGAAGGUGAGGUAAGAGCUCACCAGCCGUAUGGUGACAUGCGGGCUGUGCAUCUUGGGAGUUGUAAGAUCAUGUAUACCGGCGUUAAGAGAGUUGCUCGCUCCAGUCGGAGGGUGGAUUGCUAGAGCCCGGCGGUGACGACGGGCGUAGAUAAAUGACAGACGCCUGACAAAGGUACAGAACCCGGCUUACAGGUCUUCUGCCUCU